RNAcentral lists this ribosomal RNA (484 nucleotides) under uncultured bacterium. RNAcentral's name for it is "partial 16S ribosomal RNA". It matches the Rfam family "Bacterial small subunit ribosomal RNA", at positions 29 to 523 of the family's 1533-position model. The record is from RNAcentral.
AGUGAACGCUGGCGGCGUGCUUAACACAUGCAAGUCGAACGAGAACGGAUUAUAGCUUGCUAUAGUUGUCAGCUAAGUGGCGCACGGGUGAGUAAUGUAUAGGUAAUAUGCCUCUUACUAAGGGAUAACAAAUGGAAACGUUUGCUAAUACCUUAUACUCCUUAUUAACAGAAGUUAAUAAGGGAAAGAUUUAUUGGUAAGAGAUUAGCCUGUAUUGUAUCAGUUAGGUGGUGGGGUAAUGGCUUACCAAGACUAUGACACAUAACUGGUUUGAGAGGAUGAUCAGUCACACUGGAACUGAGACACGGUCCAGACUCCUACGGGAGGCAGCAGUGGGGAAUAUUGCACAAUGGACGAAAGUCUGAUGCAGCAACGCCGCGUGGAGGAUGACACAUUUCGGUGCGUAAACUCCUUUUAUAUGAGAAGAUAAUGACGGUAUUAUAUGAAUAAGCACCGGCUAACUCCGUGCCAGCAGCCGCCGUAA